UACGUAGGGGGCUAGCGUUGUCCGGAUUUAUUGGGCGUAAAGAGCGUGUAGGCGGCCAGGUAGGUCUGGUGUGAAAACUCGAGGCUCAACCUCGAGACGUCGGUUGAAACCACCUGGCUAGAGUCCGGAAGAGGAGAGUGGAAUUCCUGGUGUAGCGGUGAAAUGCGCAGAUAUCAGGAAGAACACCCGUGGCGAAGGCGGCUCUCUGGGACGGUACUGACGCUGAGACGCGAAAGCGUGGGGAGCGAACAGG
RNAcentral lists this ribosomal RNA (253 nucleotides) under uncultured bacterium. RNAcentral's name for it is "partial 16S ribosomal RNA". It matches the Rfam family "Bacterial small subunit ribosomal RNA", at positions 524 to 776 of the family's 1533-position model. The record is from RNAcentral.